This is a long non-coding RNA of Haplochromis burtoni (Burton's mouthbrooder), 1224 nucleotides long. RefSeq lists it as uncharacterized. NCBI's taxonomy places the organism in Eukaryota, Metazoa, Chordata, Actinopteri, Cichliformes, Cichlidae. The record is from RefSeq and is a predicted model, not a curated record. The transcript is spliced from 2 exons.
UGUGUUCUACAUGUUUAUCUGAUGGGAAAUAAAGUUGCUAUUGUUUUAUUGCAGUUUCUUGACAAUUCUGAGUGGAUUUACACAGUACGGGUCAAAAUGACCCGCAACAAAAUCAAUGUCACUUUUUUGUUUUUCAACAUAAUACAAGGGUUAAUUUCCAAAACUUCCAUAUGAUCUUCAAUUUGUAGCAGAUCCACUAUCACACAGCAGCUGGAGCAGUUUCAAAUGGAGGUCAGUCCACUACUACCAUAGCCUACUACUAGAUUAACUUGUGACACAUCUGCACCUGCUGCUAUGAUCACAUUGAGUAGAGGCUGAGUGGCUGCACUUACCCCUGGUACAUCCAAAUCUACCCACAAACAUGUUGAAAGAUGCAAUGCCAGCAAUGUGGAUUGUCAACACUAAAAACAAUCAGUAAGCAAAGACAACAGGGAUCACUUUUUUCUGUUUAUUUAGCACCCACAACAUUUGUAGUCGCCUUCUGCACAGGGGAAGUCCACACACACUGUGUGGUACCACUUUCCACAGAAGGUGCAUUUCUGCAAGAUUGAAUGAGAUUGUCAGGGUCAUUGUCUGACUGUUUAUUACUAAUCACCUGCUGUACAUUCACAGUAACUGCCAUCUCCUUACAAAUGUUUAUUAGAUUAACCACACUUAUACAGACUGUAUAUAACAACCAACUCUAAAAUGUUUGUUCGCAGAGAAAAGACACAGACAGACUACACUAACGACAUGUGAUGUUACAACACUAGUGAAAUAUUAGUGUCAUUUCAUUCAUUUCAAAGGUUUAUUUGCAUGACGCACAAACAGACACAAUUGAAAGGUACAAAUGUGUUGUGCAUGAAACGAAUUCAAACGUGGUGCAGAUGUGUGUCACAGGUUGAUCUGGCUGUAGGCUGUGGCACUUGGCCAGAGGUGGCGCUGGUUGACUCGACUCCAUGUUAGUGCACAAAGUAAACUGCUCGCUUUAGUUGUGAAGCAAAAACGCUGAAUUCGGAGAAAUAAACCGUGCGAGGGGAACGAUAACGACGACAAGAGUCUCCCGAUCGUUUACUCUUGCUGUCCUGUGAACAACAUCGGCGUGGUGUUACUUGUUUGCUGUUUUCGCGAUCGCGUCGCGCAUGAGGAUAUCACCAGCAGCUCCUGAAACGCAAGACUGCCACACAUCUGUUCGACCAACGCCAGUUGAUCUAAACGCCAGUAGAUCUGGAACACCGGCAUGCU